GUGAUGCCCUGUGUUACGGGUGACCAACUCCUCACCUGACCCUACACGUCUUUUUGUAACACCUGUCAUAUCACAGGCUCCCAGCUUCGUGUAACUGUUGAAAUUCAGAAAGGGACCUAUUUUGGGAUGAGAAGUGAUCUAACUUCAACACGUCUGGCUCGCCGACACUUGGGAACUUUUUCUUCCACUCGCCAGCAAAAAAUGCCACCACAUCCAUGUCUAUUUCGUGUGCUAACUUCCCACUCAUACUGUACAGUACUUGACACACAACCUAAGUUUUUGUCUCCAUACUGCAGACUUCCAUUUCUUGUAAUUCACAACUGCUCCACUUCGCUUCCGGGGUUGGUGUGUAUAUGUUAUAUACCGCCAUGAUUGUUGACAAAACUGACUGGCCUGACAUGUGCCCGAUGACGUCACACAUUUCACGGGACAGCCCAUCACGAAUUUAUCUGAAAGCAAGUCGCACCCACAUUAUCAUUUUAAUAAGACCUAAAAGCUUACUGUCAUUUAAUGUAUUGCAGACAUUUUAACAUCAAAUACGUUUUGGUAUAAGUCAUAUUUCCCAUUACUGAUAAAACGUGUUUUUGCGUUGGAGUACAAAUUAAAAUACAACGACUGUUAACUCUAUAUGUACCUGUAAUAAUUUAGUUCCCCAAAGUCGAAAGUGAAAAUAAAUGUACCUCUUAU
Mizuhopecten yessoensis (Yesso scallop) is the source of this 687-nucleotide long non-coding RNA. RefSeq lists it as uncharacterized. The record is from RefSeq and is a predicted model, not a curated record. Lineage: Eukaryota; Metazoa; Mollusca; Bivalvia; Pectinida; Pectinidae. The transcript is spliced from 2 exons.